CGUCAUCCAGCCCAAGACCAUGCAGAUUGAGGCGAGUGCUGGCCAGGGGCCCCGGGGAGGGGAAGAGGCUCCUGCCGGCCAGCAGCUCUCCCGCAUCUUCCAUACAGAAGUCCAUGAGUUCCUAUGUGGGUCCCAUCUCCCCCGUACCACCUAUGACUCAGGCUCGAACAGGCGCAAAGCAGGCGCUGGCCUGGGAGGUCUGAGGGAGCUGCAGGUGGCCCUGGGGCUCCCCACUUCCUCUUCUCUCCCCAGCCCUAUUGAUGGGCAGCCAUGACUCCACAGAAGUCAUUUGACGCCCACCCACGGCGGGAGAGCCAGGUGCGGCAGCUGGCAUGGAUCGGCGAUGGCGUAUGGGUGUCCAUCCGCCUGGACUCCACCCUGCGGCUCUACCACGCACACACGCACCAGCAUCUACAGGACGUGGACAUCGAGCCGUACGUCAGCAAGAUGCUAGGUGAGGGGCCACGCCAGGUGGGGUGGUGGGGGGCUCAAGGCCAGCCGCCCUGACCGCUCUCCCCCACAGGCACUGGCAAGCUGGGUUUCUCCUUCGUACGCAUCACGGCCC
This 565-nucleotide small RNA is filed under the name Pongo abelii (Sumatran orangutan). RNAcentral's name for it is "retained intron". Lineage: Eukaryota; Metazoa; Chordata; Mammalia; Primates; Hominidae. The record is from RNAcentral.